CACUUCUCCAGCUGUAACUGAAUCUCGAGGCAAGCAAAUCAGUGAGCCAGAGCCUUUGCCAUCUGUCUGUAUAGUCUUGGUGGCAAAGAAUCGAACACCCUCAGGUUCAAGGAUGCUCUGGGACAAAGGAGCCUAAAGAUCUACAGCUUUAACAAGUUUUGAAUACAGAGUACAAGCCUGAUGCAGUUCUGAAGAAAGUAAUUAAAGAUCACAUGGGGUCUGCCAUGAUAAAUAGGAUACUCUGAAUGUAAGCUGCCUCUUUAUUCUCCGACUAUAUAGCUUGCUGUUAUUGGAAAGUAAAACUCCCAGGUGGUUGUCACCAAUGGAAGCUAAAGAGGUGAAAAAACUUAAUAUGGAGUCUAAAUGGCCAAAAUAUUGUGAAAUUUUAGAACAAGAUGGGGAAAAAGUUAAAUUACAGAGUUAUGAGAAAUUAAAGUCCAAAGUGCGAGAUUGGUUGCACUACCUUCAGAUAAACGAGACAUUUAAACAGGACAGGAAAAUAGGUUUCCAGAUGGAGAGGUCAAAAUUAGAAACAGAACUGUUAGAACCCAAUACUAAGAAUCUGUCGAGAAUGUAUAAUCUGCUGUUGAAAUGGAACACACAGGAUGAAACGGUGAAAUCAGCUAUGAUAAAAUGGGCACAAGAUAUUGGUCAUAACAUUAUGUUUGCUGACUGGGAACAGCUGUGGACCACCGGUACUAAAUUUACGGCAUGUAAUGCCUUAAGAGAAAACAUUAUGAAAAUGAUGUAUAGGUGGUACAUGACCCCAGUCAAGCUUGCAAAAAUUUAUCAUCUGCCCAAUAACAAAUGUUGGAAAUGUAAUGAGACUGAAGGUACUUUUACCACCUUUGGUGGACCUGCCCGAGGAUAAAAGCUUUUGGGAAAUGAUCUAUAAUGAAAUUAAGAAGGUUCUUAAAUGGACCUUCCUAAAAACCUGAGGCUUUUCUCCUGGGCAUUGUCGGCCAAUUGGUGAGAAGGGAAGGACAGGACGUUUUUUAUGUAUGCGACCACAGCAGCAAGGAUUCUUCUAGCAAAGUAUUGGAAGGCACAACAACUACCCACACUGGAAGAAUGGCAGACGAAGGUGAUCGACUACAUGGGACUGGCGGAGUUGACUGGCAGAAUCCGUGACCAGGGGAAAGAGACAGUGGAAGAAGAUUGGAAGAAAUUCAAAGUUUAUCUUAGAACUUGUUGUAAAAUUCAGGAAUGUUAAAAUGUCAAGGGGUUGGGAAACAGAGAAUUGCAGCUGUAAUUAACAAUAUUAGAAGAACUUAAAAGAAAUUGAAUUGAAUAAUUAGUCGACUGAGGAGUUGCUGAAGAAAUAUAAAACAAGGAUGCAGAAAAGGGGAGGUAUGGGGAAGUCCGGAAAGUAAGGUUUAUGAAAAAAUGGUUAUGAAAUUAUACAUGUUUAUAUGUUUGUAUGUCGGUGUAUUGUGUAUUGUUUUUUUUUUUUUAUUUUUUAUUUUGUGUUUGGAAAAUUAAUAAAAAUUUAUUUUAAAAAAAAAAAAAAAAGACUAUAUAGCUUGCUGUAGACCUAGCGGUAGCAUUGUAACACAAGCUUACAGUCAGGGCUAAACUAGCAGUGGUGAGCAUGUAAAGAAGGACCGGGUAAUAUCAUAGUUUCUACUGUGAUGUUUCUGUGUCCAAGAACAGGCACCAAGAAUGAGGAAUAGUUUAUUAGAAAGCACUUUAUGCAGAGGAAAUUCAAAGACCCCUUGCCAGCACUGAAACUAAAGGACUAAGGAGCUGCCCAUGUAAUGUUACUCCCUGGAGAAUUCUCAAAAUGCCAAAUUCUUAACGCUAAGGGAGUGUCAACAGAUCACAAGUUCCAUCAUUACAUUUUCCAUCCCUCUUUUCCUUACUCUUAGAAGGGAAGAAGGUGAGAACCUUUCCAGGUAGGUGGGAGGCCACAGUGCUGGCCUGUGGAUACCAGCUGCAGGACCUCCUAAAUCAUGGGUACCAGGGUGAUUUUUGCAGGGUUCUAUAUCACUUGGAGUAUCUACACAGAAGGAAUCAGGCUCCUAGCUCCAUAGAGUCACCUUCCAGCAUGUGCAGGAUUAUGGGUGGGGUGGGGUAAAUCAUCAUCAUCAUCAUCUAUUAUUUAUACCCCACCCAUUUGGCUGGGUUUCCCCAGCCACUCUGGGCAGUUUCCAACAAAGGAUUAAAAAUACAUUAAAACAUCAGUCAUUAAAAACUUCCCUAAACAGGGCUGCCUUCAGAUGUCUUCUAAACGUCAGAUAGUUGUUCUCACAAACUCCUCCAUCCUUCGUAUAUAUCAGCAAUAACAUACAUCUGACCUGUUGGCUUAAUUAGGCCUGCCAGUCCUCUCCAUUUGGCCCAGCCAUGCCCACCUUACUGACAUCGAGCCGAAAAGGGGUUGACAGGUACUGCUGACCAGCUCAUUGGCGACACCUGCAAAGCCCCGGACAUCAGCUUGAUCAUUGGGGCUAGCAUAGCUGUGAGCACCUUAUUUUGCAUGCCCUGGUGGUCAGCUGAUGGUUGGGGCUUGCAAAGCACAAUGCACUGCACUCUGCCUGCACACUUUGAGUGGGGUGGGCAAAUGUGGGCCACUUGAUGUCAUUUUGAAACCAGGGGAUUGACAGGCAGUGGCCCUGCCCUUCUGUCAAACUUGGCUAGAGGGUGGGGUGGGAAGUAGUAUAGAAUAUGGCCUGCCAGCCUGAUCCAGUUCCCCACUGCUGCUGCAUGCAAUUGCUGGAGUUCCUGAAGAGGGCUUUACAAAAACCUGGUGUUCCAUCUCUUACUCAGGCAGUCUAUAAAUACAGACUUCUUAUUUCCCCCCCGGCAUAGCUUUUGGCACGCUGACAGCUUCCCCACUUUUGGAUUAGCUCAUUUGAUUGCCAUGUCUGGCAUGGUUUGAGGCUGACCUUUCACCGAGGCUAUUUCCCCCCUUGUAUUCCUAAAAAUGAAACAACAAGACAGUGUGAAUGAUUAAAGCUGCAGAUUGUUGAUUUCUGCAUAGGCAACUCCACUGUGAUUGAAAUGCUGAGAUAGCUGGUGGGCAAGCUGAGAAAUAUUAACAGCCUACGUAGUUCCCAUAAACUCAAGUUUCUAUAGAUAGGCCUACACCAUAAUUUAAUUAUAGAACCUGGCAUUUCUAAACUGAUCCACUAUUUAUUAUGAUGAAGAUUUUAUUGCUGGUCUUAUUAAAAAUUGAAACAAUUAAAUAAAAAUAGUGACAAUCCCCAUGUCCCCUCAACGUCUUUUCCAUGCAGCCAAAGGACAAGCUAGGGUGAGAGUUUAAAAAGACAGCAGGCUGCAAGAUACAGUAAGUGAGAGAAAGGAGAAUGAUAGCAUAUUGAACAGAUAUCAAAUAGUGUGGAUUCCAGUUUCUGACACUGCCUUGUAACUUAGGCUCUUCAUUGCACAUGGUUCCAAGUGUCUUGGGAUCAGUCUUCCCAGGCUUCUCCCACCCCCAGUAAAAUGCAUGCUGGUGAAGAUUGUGAAUUUGAUAACAGCUGCUGUGGGUUAAACCACAGAGCCUAGGACUUGCCAAUCAGAAGGUCGGCGGUUCGAAUCCCCACAACGGGGUGAGCUCCCGUUGCUCAGCCCCUGCUCCUACCCACCUAGCAGUUCGAAAGCACGUCAAAGUGCAAGUAGAUAAAUAGGUACCGCUCUGGUGGGAAGGUAAACAGCGUUUCCAUGCGCUGCUCUGGUUCACCAGAAGCGGCUUAGUCAUGCUGGCCACAUGACCCGGAAGCUGUACGCUGGCUCCCUUGGCCAAUAAAGCGAGAUGAGCACUGCAACCCCAGAGUCGGACACGACUGGACCUAAUGGUCAGGGGUCCCUUUAUCUUUACCUUUACAAUGGUAGGGGAAACAUUGGCAACCUCUGUCUCCACUAGCCAUUUUUUGCAAUAAAAAAAUCAAACACUUCCACUGGUCCUUCUUCCCCAGCCCCACCCCCUCCACCCACAACUCCCCAGGUCAAGAAAUAUCUUAGGUUGGAUAAUUUUGAUUUUGUAAAAAUUAACUUGUGGUGGAGGUGGGUAGGGAAUCAUCAUAUUCUCCAGGGCCACUGGUGAACUCAAAUCCAGAGUUCAUAUCACUGAGAAGUGGGAGGGAGAUGCUGGAAGACUGAGAAAGACAGGACAUCUUCUCACCAGCAUGGAGUGGUUUGAAGGUGCCUCAUCUUAGGAAGAGAGGAAGUUGCCUUAUAUGGAGUCAGGCCAUUGACCACUUCAGGCAGAAGUCAUUCCCAGCCCUACCUGAAGAUGACAGGAAUGGAAUCUGGGAGCUUCUCCAUGCAAGGGCAAGAUUCUCUGCUAUUGAGCUUUGACCCUCCCAUGGCACCAAAGUCAGGACUGCUACUAAGUAUUCGGUCUAUAGUGAGAUGUAGCCAAUCUUUAUUCUCCAACAUGAUGCUACAUGGUUCACUCCACAGUGAAGUGUAGCUACUCUUCACUCUCUGAUGUGUAUGAAAAACAAAAGGAGCUGGUCAAUAAGGAAAAGCCUAAAAUCCACAGCAGGUUGCAUUAGGAUGAACUGAAAGGUCACAAAAUAGGAAACAUGCCCUCUGAUUCCAGGUAAGUGCUAGUUUUUAUAUUUGCAAAAAAGGGGGAAGCAGCCAUUGUACUUAUUUGUCCUAGCAUCCCUAUGGGUGGCCAUAGGCACGUAGGACAGCACCUCUCCUGCACACCAGCUUAAGACGGUGAACAAUGAAAGCUAUUGUUGAGAUUCCUCUGAACUCUUACAAAUACAGUCUCUGCGUGUGUUUGAUGAAAAGCAAUAAAGGAAACUCACUUCCUCCAGUUUGGGUGAAAUGCAAGCAACAGGUACUGUACUUGACAUUACCCAGAUUUGUGAUGGGGUUUGUGAUUUUCUUCAGAAUGGCUUAGCACCUUCUGCAAACAGACAGAGCUCAGUUGCUCUGUCCCUGAGUUUCAUCCAUUAAUUAGGCUGCCCAGGGCUUUUUUUUUUAACCAGCCGGAACUCACCAGAACUCACCUCUCAGGCGGGUGCCAUUGCCAUUAUAAGAAAACAAGGGAAGCGUUCAUGGUGAGUUCCGGUAACUAUUGCACCAUGAUGUUGCCUCAGGUGUGUAUGUGUACUUUUCUAGUGUGGUCCAGGUGGGUUCAUAAAAUGGAAGGGAAGGACGGGCAAACAAGCCAUUUCCAGCCCUCCUCUUAUAUGCCAAUGGAGAAGAUGCUUUAAAAAGAAAUUCUGUGGGGGAGGGGUUUGUGUGUCUCCUUGGCCACCUGUAAACUUGUUUAUUUAAAAACAUUUCUAAACCACUGAAUAUUUUAAAAAAUCUCUUAAGCAGUGUACAAAAAUGCAAGCAUAAAGCAGUAAAAUAGCAUCAUAAGAUUAAAUAUUAAAUAAAGGCCAAUAAAUGAAUGUUCAUCUGAAAUGAACAGAUGAAUUUAGCAAUCCAAAUGGUGGCCUGCUUCAUGCAGACUGCUCACAUCUUCUUAGCUUGAAAAUGAUUUGAAAAUGGGACACAAGAAUUUGGUCAGGGCUCCUCCUGUUUUCUGUGUCUCUGCCACUGUAUGUAAUGUUCUGAAGCUUCUGGACAAGACACAUAGGAGACUGUCUGACAUUGAUUUCAUUUUCAUUGCCCUGUACUAAUAGUAAAGUCAUUUAUCUUUAAAGACUUCAUUCAAUAAAGCACAGGCCACACUGUGGAUGGAGAAUGUGUCUCUUUGUGGAUAAAUAACUGAGCUUGCUUCGGGGAAAUUCAAUUAAAAUUGGUAUCUAAUUGACUUUCUCAGUUUUCAAUUUAUAGGUUCAGUUUUUAUGGCGUUGGACAAUUUUGUUUUCAUUUUCCUGGGGGGAAAAAAUAUCCCAGAGCAUCUUUGAGGUAGUGGGAAAGUUGAGUUAGGCUCAAAAUUAGAAAUGUUUCAGGGAACCUACUUGGCAGAGUCUGAAAGCAUCCCCCUCUUGACAAUUUUUGGUUUGCAAGAUUUUACCAGUGCAGAAAGCAGUUGCCUGAAAUAUCUUUGUUGCCUUCCAUGAUUUCAGCAGGUAGCCAAAACAGAUGGAUGAUGAUGUACCAUUGUGACAAUAUCACACCUGCUAUUUGACAUCUCAUUUGACUGAUCUAAGAAGCACUGUUCUGGAUUGGCUUUGCUUUCAAUAUCACCACAAUUUGGUUACAUAGCAUGAUAAUAUUACUGGAUCAUCACAGUCUAUUUGCUUGUUGGCAAUCUCAAAA
Podarcis lilfordi (Lilford's wall lizard) is the source of this 6171-nucleotide non-coding RNA. The record is from the annotation of a GenBank genome assembly. Lineage: Eukaryota; Metazoa; Chordata; Lepidosauria; Squamata; Lacertidae.